Molecule: microRNA, 22 nt
Filed under: Ciona intestinalis (vase tunicate)
Lineage: Eukaryota; Metazoa; Chordata; Ascidiacea; Phlebobranchia; Cionidae
Description: cin-miR-4179b-5p
Source: miRBase by way of RNAcentral
UUAUCUGGUAUAAAAAGUUUUG